Molecule: transfer RNA, 54 nt
Filed under: Metacrangonyx dominicanus
Lineage: Eukaryota; Metazoa; Arthropoda; Malacostraca; Amphipoda; Metacrangonyctidae
Description: transfer RNA Valine
Source: RNAcentral
GAAAAUGACAUAUGUUAUUAAUUACAAUAAUAAAUUCCUUAAAAGGCAUUUUUU